Long non-coding RNA from Triticum aestivum (bread wheat), 3789 nucleotides. RefSeq lists it as uncharacterized. The transcript has 10 exons. Lineage: Eukaryota; Viridiplantae; Streptophyta; Magnoliopsida; Poales; Poaceae. The record is from RefSeq and is a predicted model, not a curated record.
ACCUCCUCUCGUUCCACAAGCCAACGCAACCGCCGCCUCCUCGCCUCCGCCUCUUUCUCCGGGGGCCUUGCAGCUGCAGCAGGAUGGGAGUCAAGGGGGCGAGCGGGAUGGGCGGCCAGCUGGUUUCUUCGCCAGAUCUGCAGCCGAGGGGCGACUCCGGACCGGGGAGUGGCGGCAGUGGCCAGGCCUAGUGGUGACGGGACAAUGAAGUGGUCGGAGGCGCUGCAUCGGCGGCAAGUUGGUCUGCAACGACAGCAAGACGAGGGAGAUCGUGCACCCGCGGUGCCAAAGCUCAAGGGCCAUUAGGGAGCUGAACUCAGAUAUAUCCACCGUGCAGGACAAUGCCUUGGAGCUCCUGCUAUGUGGCUGUGGUUCUGGUCUUCUUUCCUGUACUUAAAUCUCGUGUUUGUUCGAUCUUAUAGGCUUCUUCAUAUUUUGCAUAUUCAUCAAGACGUGGCAGUCUACUCUGCUAUUUUGGCUAUCAUGGUCAAAAUAGCAGUAUGGAAUAAAUGAGACUUCCGGUCAAGCUACUGAUAUUAAGGUGUUCUUAUGUUUUUUUGGUGGGCUUUCAAGCCGCUUGUGUUUGCAUUUUGUCCAAAACUCAUGAAGAUUGAAGGAUCUUCAGAAGAAUAACCGGCAUGGCAUAUGGGUGCACGUGUGGAGCCAGUUCAGAGCAUACGUAGUAGUAGCAGUCUCAAGGUAAUGCAUUACAGGGCAUGUACAAUUUUGAAAUUGUAAAAUUCCACUAUGGCACUAAGGUGCUGUCUUUUGCUCUCCUCCCUGCAAAUCUAUGAUUAUUUCCUGAUAUAUAUAUAUAUAUAUAUAAAUGUAGCUUCUUAUAUAAUUAAUAGACUGUAUUAUGAGUGUAUUCAUGUUCUAAAAUCAACAAUGGUGGUAUCUUGGUAGAACUAAUGCAUUUCCUUAUGAUUUACUAUCCUGACUUAAAAGAUAUUGACUGAUUUUACAGCUGCUGUGCACAUAAUACGCUGCUAUAUGUUUCGUAGUAUUAUCCUUCUAAGAACAAGUACCGGCGCUCUGUUUUGCUAAUCCAAAAGGUGCAGCUUGUUAUUGUCCUUCAACUAUGCUUCCAGCAUAUAUGUGUUUUAACUUCUUGAUCCUUGUUUUGCUAUGCUUAACCUUUCAUACCCAGAUUUUUGGAUAAACUAAUGGUAGAAUUUCUUACCUUUGCCAUGCCUUGCUUUGCAUGCUUCAAGAAGCUUUUCAGAAUAUUCAGUUAAUUGUGCUGGUUGUUCAUAUCCUUAGCUAUUUUGCAGCUUAUCUGUCAAGUAGGUUUUACACUUUCGACAACUGGGAUAAUCAUGCUGCAAUUGCAUGCGAUGCUACUUCUAUAUUGUUGUGCUCUGAAAUAUAUUUUCAAAGGCAUAACCGAUUGGUCAAAAUAUACAGCUUGAGAUACUUUCAGUUUAGUUCAUAUCAUAUAUAAUUUUAGUUUGUCGCACGGUAUUUUUUUAAAAAAAUUAUUAGCUAUCAAGGCAAGGAUAAGACAUCAGGACAAAGAAGAGUUACCCUAUGCGUUUUUGGUGAUGUUGCAGAACACUCUUGAGAAGCGAUAGCUAGGUAUUAUGACGCAUAUCUUCCUUCUCUGUUCAAAGCUUGCACAAGUGAAAACCCUGAUGUUAUACAAUGUGGAGUACAAUGGAUCCUACGGCUCGGCUUCGCGGCCGGGAUCAGGCAUCGCUGGAUCGGUGGAACCAAAGGUGGGUUGUGGAAGACUGCACCGGGGAGCAUCGAGCCAUCGACCGAACAAGGUCUUAGAGUCGUUUAUGAUCCCGUAGGCCUCCGACAACAUCAAUAAUAAGGAUAGGAGUUGUCUGCUUCAUAUCGCCUCUGUCUCCACCUACGUUUCAGUUUGCAGGACGUGUUCGAGGGUGGCUUCUGCUUGUUCAUGAAGGCAACUAAGAAGGAGAAUUUGAUUAAAUUUCUUGAAGGAAAGAAAGAUUUUAUUUUCAGGCAGGUAUGAAACUGUGAAUGUCCUGUAGUUCAUGUUGAGGGUGGCUUCUGCUUGUUCAUGAAUGCAUCGUAAAGCCUUGACAGCAGUGUAGGUGUUCUUUGUGUUGUUCAUGUUGAGGGCAUUGAUGAUGAGUUGCUAGAGCGUCUUGAUUGGUUGGGGAACCUGGCUAUUUAUGCUUCUCAAUUUUCAUAUUUGUAUUGGAACUAUUUACUAAAUUAUAUGCCGACACAAGUUUAGUAUCUUUUUGAUAAUAUAUUAGUUACGCAUCUGAUCUAUGUCAGUUCGUUGUUGUCCAAGACAAAAUGUUUUUAUUUGAACACCAUACAUACUUAUCGGCAUAACAAAACACAACUAAUGCAUACCCAUAAUAAGCAUUAAUCUGUACUUUUGAUUUUAAGGUCUGAGUCGAUCUAAAUUGCUCAGUUGAUAGCUCUGUACUAUACUUUUUGUAAAAAAAUAUAUGAAUUAGGACUCCAUCGCUUAGAUUUGUCGAAGCAACUAAGUUGUUGUUUCUCGUCAUGUGGUUGGGAGCUUUUCUUGAGCCUUUGUUUGCUUUAUGACAUUGAGCUCUUUGAAAGGAGGCGAGAAGUAUUUUGAGAUCUUCCUCCUGAAGAACAUCUUGUUAGAACAUGCCCAGAUUAGUUGUUGUGCGUGUGGUGUUCGUGCUACUGGAGGUGUGCAUGUGUGCUAGAUGUGUGGUGUGAGCCUACGCCAAUAUCAGACCUUGCAACAGCCUUCCUGUCUACAGGGGGGGGGGGGGCUGGCGCCGUUCCGGUCGUGGUUCGGCAACCUGCAUCUGCAUUGGGAGGACGGCGGUGCCGAUGGUUUGGGAGCUGAAGCCGUGUGGCGAGGAUGGCGGUGGCGGAGGAGGAAGAGGGCGCCGGCGGCUUUCGGUCACAUGGGUCAAAGGAGAGCAAGGGGACGGCAGCACCUUCUUCCCAUCUUCACCUAGAGUGCUAGCUACCUUUCAAACAUGGAAGCUUAGGAGAAAGCAUGUAAACCGAAGACAGGAAGCUUACCUGUUCGAUUCAGCAGAUUUGGUUUGCUCUAUUUGUUAAGAUCUUUCUCUGCUGCACGAGAACUUAGAGAUGUAACAUCAAUGUGGUGGGCAUAGAUCAGAAAGGCAAGUUCUUGUCAAAGGAAAUCUUCACCUACGUAAAGGUAACCUUAAUAGCCUCUCUUAAAUUUUGCAACAGGCAGCCAUUGUUGUAGCAUGGAGCUCUAGAGUAGUUAGUCUAGAUUCAACUCUAGAGUAGUUAGUCUAGAUUCAACUGAGUUACAAGUGCACAUUUGUCUAGUUAUUGCUACCUUUUUUUUGGAAGAUUUUAGACUUACUAUCCUGUGUUAAUUUAAGGACUGGCUAAGUUUUGUUGUUCGUUCCCGUUCUCGGGUGCUGUCCGGUGGGUCAGUUGCGCUCUUCAGCGCCUUCGUCUUUGUUGUCUCCUACACCUUUGCCUACACCCUCACCCACUACCACGACUCCUGCAGCAAGGUAACAGGUCUCUGCCUCGCCCGAUCUCCUUCGCCAGUUUAUAUGCAGAUGGACGGCUGCAUGAACAGAAAGACAAUGGUGUCCGAGCUUUGUUGCAUUGCGUUACAGGACGAGAACCUCUUUUAUUUCAUUUCCAGUUUCACUUUUUUUAGAACAUUUCCAGUUUCACUCUGCCUCUUUUUUUUACUUGGCUGGACUAAAGCAAAGUAGCAACAUUUACGUAAACAGAAUUGGGUGUUUUCUGCUUUCUUGUUCCUCCAUUGUCUUCUGCUGGUGUGUUGCCUUCACUCGUAUCUCCAAAAGCAAUUUACUGCCCCUCCAAUUC